CCAAUGUGGAUAUCCUGUGAGGUUGCUCUCAUAGGCUCUGUCCUGGUGGCGUACGGGAGCGCAGCGUUGUAUGGCGCAGUGACGUAUAUUCCCCUUCCACGACAUUGGAGAGCAAGCGCGUCCCCGGGCCUUGGUCUGGUGUGGACGGCGUCCUGUAUAUUCCUACAACUUCCCAGAGCCUUCGGGCUGUGAUUGGGGAGACAAACCAUGCAGGAUACAUUG
This is a small nucleolar RNA of Spea bombifrons (plains spadefoot toad), 222 nucleotides long. RefSeq annotates it as small nucleolar RNA SNORA73 family. The record is from RefSeq and is a predicted model, not a curated record. NCBI's taxonomy places the organism in Eukaryota, Metazoa, Chordata, Amphibia, Anura, Pelobatidae. The transcript has a single exon.